This 257-nucleotide ribosomal RNA is filed under the name uncultured bacterium. RNAcentral's name for it is "partial 16S ribosomal RNA". It matches the Rfam family "Bacterial small subunit ribosomal RNA", at positions 524 to 777 of the family's 1533-position model. The record is from RNAcentral.
UACGGAGGGUGCAAGCGUUAUCCGGAUUCACUGGGUUUAAAGGGUGCGUAGGAGGGCAGGUAAGUCAGUGGUGAAAUCCCCCGAGCUUAGCUUGGGAACUGCCGUUGAUACUAUCUGUCUUGAAUACCGUGGAGGUGAGCGGAAUAUGUCAUGUAGCGGUGAAAAUGCUUUAGAUAUGACAUAGAACACCAAUUGCGAAGGCAGCUCGCUACACGAAUAUUGACUCUGAGGCACGAAAGCGUGGGGAUCAAACAGGA